AACGAACGCUGGCGGCAGGCUUAACACAUGCAAGUCGAGCGCCCCGCAAGGGGAGCGGCCGACGGGUGAGUAACGCGUGGGAACGUACCUUUUGGUUCGGAACAACUCCGGGAAACUGGAGCUAAUACCGGAUAAGCCCUAACGGGGAAAGAUUUAUCGCCGAAAGAUCGGCCCGCGUCUGAUUAGCUAGUUGGUGAGGUAACGGCUCACCAAGGCGACGAUCAGUAGCUGGUCUGAGAGGAUGAUCAGCCACACUGGGACUGAGACACGGCCCAGACUCCUACGGGAGGGAGCAGUGGGGAAUAUUGGACAAUGGGGGCAGGCCUGAUCCAGCCAUGCCGCGUGAGUGAUGAAGGCCUUAGGGUUGUAAAGCUCUUUUGUCCGGGAAGAUAAUGACUGUACCGGAAGAAUAAGCCCCGGCUAACUUCGUG
RNAcentral lists this ribosomal RNA (431 nucleotides) under uncultured bacterium. RNAcentral describes it as "partial 16S ribosomal RNA". It matches the Rfam family "Bacterial small subunit ribosomal RNA", at positions 29 to 507 of the family's 1533-position model. The record is from RNAcentral.